Long non-coding RNA from Arachis duranensis, 929 nucleotides. RefSeq lists it as uncharacterized. Lineage: Eukaryota; Viridiplantae; Streptophyta; Magnoliopsida; Fabales; Fabaceae. The transcript has 3 exons. The record is from RefSeq and is a predicted model, not a curated record.
UGAACUAAUACUAACCUGAAAUUUUUCUAAAUUUGUGUUCCUUGCAUAAACUUGAGCUUCUAUUAUUGUCAAAGAUUAGUGCUUGACAGGAUGGUGGUGAUGUUCUUGUUGAGAGGGAUGAGUGCAGGGGAAAAGGAGGGGCACCGGGAUUCAAGGUAGCAAUCUUGGGUGCUGCUGGUGCAAUUGGCCAAUCUCUAUCUUUGCUGAUGUCUCAGGACAAACCUCCUAUGUACUAAGUUAGCAAAUAAUUAUUAUACAUGAUGAUGGAGCCAGAUUAUUAACCAAUUCCGUGAAUAGUUGAGGACUUAGCAGACCCCAUUGAUUGAGGCCCUUGUUAUAAACUUUACACAAAAUUCUUCUAUGAGUUCACUGUCAAACCAAGACUUCGGAGGGUGGCAUAUUUGUGACACAGGUACUAUAAGACCAAUGUCCAUAAUAUUCAGGUUAACCGAGGUCUUUUCAUCUAUCUACAAUACAUUGAGACAGGUUUUUAAGUGCUUCAGAUUUUUCAUUAAAGCUGAAUGCAGAAGAGAUAGACUUGAGAAUAAAACAAAGGAUUAAGGGGCAAAGCAGUCUCCAGCUAGAACAAGCUAAAACAGUCUUCAGAUUUUCCACAAUUUUCUUUAUAUAGAUUGGAGGAAAAAAUUUUCAAUUCAGAGUCAAAAAAUCAAGUUCUUUGCCAGCAAGCAUUGGCUGUAUCACCGACUGGAAAAGCUUGGACUACAAGAUUAAUACCUGAGAUAUUACUUCUACUUCAACAACUGACACAUAAUUUGAUUAUACUUUUAACUUUAUUGUUCCAAUUCAUGUGAGUAAUUUAGUUUUAUAAAGUAAUUAGAUUAAUUUGAUGAAUGAAGUUGUAUGAGAGUGGAAUGAUGUAAAUGAUAUCCAUUAUAUGAUGUAAAUGAUAUUCAUUACUUCUGCUUCAA